AGCGCGUGAGCACUACCGCCACUGCACGCAUACACCCGCUUCUUCUCACACCCACACACAUUUUCGCCUCCACAAUCGGAGCUUCCUUGCCUCCCCUCACACAUACACAACACGCAUGCACUCGAGAAUUCCGCUUUCGAUCGUCUUCUCUGCGGAGGGGAGGCGACACGUCAUCCCGCACCGCACCUUUCGUGUCGCGGCUCAGGCGGCAGAUGGAAGCGCUGAUGCGAGCACCUACACCGGCGCUGCGGAGGAGGGUAUCGCCUUCUUCCAGUACUUGGACUCCAAUGACACGCGUAUGCCGUCGCAUCCGCACCUCAGGGCCUACGCCCAUCCGGCGGAGGAGUACGAGACGUACGUCGGCGAGGAGGUUUGGAACGCUACCGAUGAGGCACCCACAAGCGCAUCGGGACAUCCACCGGUGCACGACACAGGGAAGGCCCGGAGCGGAAGCGCCUCUUGCUGCGCCACAUCGGAGGAUUCCGCGCCGGUGCCGAGCUUCCGCAGCGUGGUGGAAUGGGUGAACAGCGUCUUUGAGGAGGAGUGGGCCUCCGACGGCGUUGUGUUGUGCGGUCGCUACGUUGUGGCGGAUGACGGAGCGUGGGUAGUACCCUCUCGCUCCCCUGCGCUCUACACCACGCGCGAAGUGUUCUUGCUGAUGCGCAACUCGAGCAAGUUCCUUCACGACGUGCACGCGCAGGUGAUAGACGUGAGGGCCUCGGCACGGAGAGGCGCACACGGCGGCUCUUUGACAUUCGAGUUCACGCUUGCCAAGUCUCUUGCCGGAUCUGGUGCGAGUGAGAUGCGGGCCAUUCUUCCAUACCCGCUGCACUUUAGCCCGCAGAAGCGCGCCUGGGCAGUCGACGACACUGCCGCAUCCUUGUCUUUUACCGGAAUUGGCCAGCGUGUGACCGACGUGUGCUUUCCUUCGCUGAUGGCGUGGACGGAGGCAGAGCAUGAUGAUAAUUUUCGCUUCAUGCAGCGGCGAAUCGAGCAGGCUGCGCUGCUGGAGCGUACCUGUGUCGCGGACCCGGGAUUCAUCUCCCGCCUUGUGAGAGCCUUUGAUAAAAGAAUGCACCAGGAGUCCGCCGCCGAUGAGGUUUCGGGGCGGCAGCAUUCUCAUCCGAGCCUGGCGCUUCUUCUUGCGUUGGACUUGCUCUUUGAGAGCCCCUCGCUUCCGAUUUACGUGCUGAGCGCGAAGGCGCGUGUGUUUGAGGUGGCUCCUCGAACUUCGGCGCCGUGGACAGCGAUCAACGAUGCCUCACAGUGGCAUCUGUGGACUCCGCUACUCGCCGACGCGGACGCCACAGGCGCAGAAGGUGCUUCUCAUGGCGCUACCGCUGCUGACGCGGCUUGCAGAGGCGACGGUAACACCCAGGCCACGCCUUUGGGAGAGGACGAAGAGUCGGAGGGGACAGAAGAGGACGAGGAAGAGGACGUGACCACUGGUUCUCUCGACUUUUUCCGCAUGUUCAGAGACGUUGGCCACUGGAAUCAGUACGUCCGUGCUAUGGCGGCGCGUCUCCAGCAGAGCUGCGCCGGUGCCAUGGGCCCCGACGACUCGAACAAGCCCUCUCGCGGUGUCCAGCACUACUGUGUGAUCGCAUCCGAAAGCGCGGACCUGGUCGCCUGCGCGGAUACGCGGACAAAGCGUGGACUUCCGCUGGAGCUGAUGCACCCGGAGUUGCUGGAGAUGAACGAAGAAGCAGCGGGCUUUCUGAAAAUGCUCAGAGAGGGCUUGCUCAAGCGACCUGGAGGAGACAACUGAGAGAACAGCACAAAAGCGAGACGAGCAAGCAGUGAAGAGAGUGUUCCGCGCGGCUGCGAUAUUCGUUUUGCGCUCGUCUGAAACUCUUCUGCAGGGCGCCGGAACUGGUGUGUGUGUGUGUGUGUGCUGCUCCCAUCUCCCUGUGGCUCUUUCGGUUCCUUCGAGAAGCGCAUCAUCCGUGCGAGCGGAUUCUGUUUCCUUUCUCUCUUACAGUGAGACCGGAAAAAAAAAAGAUGCGCCGCACAAGUAAGAGGACUCGUCAUUGCUGCUCUGUAUUGUAUGGCACACGCAGACACACAUACACACCUCUCUGUAUGUGUGUCUGCGUGUGCCUUCGGGCUUUGCAUCCAUGUGCGAGGCGUGCAAGCCCCACAGUCACAGGCUCCGCAUACGGGCAAAGUAAUAAUAAUAAUAAAGAAACUAACAACGAAACGACUUAAAAGGAUAUUGCUGAAAAGAACAUACGCGCGGCCUCGGCACAUAAGCACAUGCAUACACACAUACAUACACAGUUGUACAACCCAACGUGAUGGCGAUGGGAAAAUCUGCUGUUGUCAGCAAGGAUUCGGAUUUCGCUCCUCGCAUGCACUCACCCUCACGCUGCUGCAGCGAAAACGAAC
Molecule: unclassified non-coding RNA, 2388 nt
Filed under: Leishmania donovani
Lineage: Eukaryota; Euglenozoa; Kinetoplastea; Trypanosomatida; Trypanosomatidae
Description: gene:LdHU3.28.2930(CDS-product:hypothetical_prote in_conserved)
Source: RNAcentral